This 85-nucleotide transfer RNA is filed under the name Felis catus (domestic cat). It matches the Rfam family "tRNA". Rfam says of the family: Transfer RNA (tRNA) molecules are approximately 80 nucleotides in length. Their secondary structure includes four short double-helical elements and three loops (D, anti-codon, and T loops). Lineage: Eukaryota; Metazoa; Chordata; Mammalia; Carnivora; Felidae. The record is from Rfam by way of RNAcentral.
GCCUGGGUGGCUCAGUUGGUUGAGCGUCUGACUUCGGCUCAGGUCAUGAUCUCACGGUCCGUGAGUUCGAGCCCCGCGUCGGGUU